AGUUGUAUCCUGGCUCAGGAUGAACGCUGGCGGUAUGCCUAACACAUGCAAGUCGUACGGGAGUUUUUAACUCAAGUGGCGGACGGGUGAGUAACACGUGAGUAUUUACCUUUAGGAGGGGGACAACAGUUGGAAACGACUGCUAAUACCCCAUAUGCUUUAGAGUGAAAAAGAUUUAUCUGCCUAAAGAAAAGCUCGCGGCUGAUUAGCUAGUUGGUGAGGUAAUGGCUCACCAAGGCGACGAUCAGUAUCUGGUUUGAGAGGACGAUCAGACACACUGGAACUGAGACACGGUCCAGACUCCUACGGGAGGCAGCAGUGGGGAAUUUUCCGCAAUGGGCGAAAGCCUGACGGAGCAAUACCGCGUGAGGGAAGACUGCCUAUGGGUUGUAAACCUCUUUUUUCAGGGAGGAAUCAAUGACGUGUACCUGAAGAAUAAGCAUCGGCUAACUCCGUGCCAGCAGCCGCGGUAAGACGGAGGAUGCAAGUGUUAUCCGGAAUCACUGGGCGUAAAGCGUCUGUAGGUUGUUGUUUAAGUCAACUGUUAAAUCUUGAGGCUCAACCUCGAAAUCGCAGUCGAAACUAUUCAACUUGAGUAUAGUAGGGGUAAAGGGAAUUUCCAGUGGAGCGGUGAAAUGCGUAGAGA
This 646-nucleotide ribosomal RNA is filed under the name uncultured cyanobacterium. RNAcentral describes it as "bacterial SSU rRNA". It matches the Rfam family "Bacterial small subunit ribosomal RNA", at positions 10 to 696 of the family's 1533-position model. Lineage: Bacteria; Bacillati; Cyanobacteriota. The record is from RNAcentral.